This 428-nucleotide ribosomal RNA is filed under the name uncultured bacterium. Its description in RNAcentral is "partial 16S ribosomal RNA". It matches the Rfam family "Bacterial small subunit ribosomal RNA", at positions 354 to 796 of the family's 1533-position model. The record is from RNAcentral.
ACUAGGAAUUUUGCGCAAUGGGGGCAACCCUGACGCAGCGACACAGCGUGGAGGAGGAAGGUCUUCGGAUUGUAAACUCCUUUUAUAUGGGAAGAAUAGAUGACUGUACCAUAUGAAUAAGCACCUGCUAACUACGUGCCAGAAGCAUCGGUGAUGCGUAGGGUGCGAACGUUAUCCGGAUUUAUUGGGCGUAAAGAGAUGCGUAGGCGUUUCAGUUAGUCUUUCGUUAAAAGUCACGGCUUAACCGUGAAGAUGCGUUGGAUACUGCUGAAAUUGAGACAUGAAGGGGUGAACGGAACUCCAAGUGGAGCGGUGAAAUGCGUUGAUAUUUGGAAGAACAUCAGGGGCGAAGGCGGUUCACUGGUCAUUGUCUGACGCUAAGGCUCGAAAGCGUGGGUAGCAAAACGGAUUAGAUACCCUGGUAGUCC